GCGGCGUGCUUUAAGCAUGCAAGUAGAACGGGACUAGUAGCAAUACCAGUCAAGUUGCGAACGGCUGAGUAAUGAGUAAGAAUCUUUCCUUUGGUGGGGAAUACCUCGUCGAAAGACGAGCUAAUACCGCAUAACAUCUCCGGAUAAAAGCGAUUAACCUCGCGCCGAUUGAGGAGCUUACUACCCAUCAGGCAGUUGGUAGGGUAACGGCCUACCAAACCUACGACAGGUACCCGAUCUGAGAGGAUGAACGGGCAGAAUGGGACUGAGAAACGGCCCAGACUCCUACGGGAGGCAGCAGUGGGGAAUAUUGGACAAUGGGCGAAAGCCUGAUCCAGCCAUGCCGCGUGAGUGAUGAAGGCCUUAGGGUUGUAAAGCUCUUUCGCCGGGGAAGAUAAUGACGGUACCCGGAAAAGAAGCCUCGGCUAACUCCGUGCCAGCCGCCGCCGUAA
RNAcentral lists this ribosomal RNA (452 nucleotides) under uncultured bacterium. RNAcentral describes it as "partial 16S ribosomal RNA". It matches the Rfam family "Bacterial small subunit ribosomal RNA", at positions 39 to 523 of the family's 1533-position model. The record is from RNAcentral.